Molecule: unclassified non-coding RNA, 375 nt
Filed under: Hevea brasiliensis (rubber tree)
Lineage: Eukaryota; Viridiplantae; Streptophyta; Magnoliopsida; Malpighiales; Euphorbiaceae
Source: RNAcentral
GAAGUAGAAGAGAAAAGAGUCAACCAACACAUGAAGCUCCCAUUACAGGGUAGCACUGCACAUCACCAUUAGCAUGAAAGUCUUAUGAAGGGUAGCUUUUUACUAAAAUUCCCAAGCAAUUAGAGAGGAAAAAUGCAGCAGAAAGGGCAUCAAUAACAUCCGUCACGUUAACAACAAAGUGUUGGAAAUUUCCCCUCCUCACCAAGUCAGGAAAAUCACAAAGGCGCACAAGCCAAUGUUCUCUUUAUCCUUUCUCAAUUAUCUUCCUUAUUUUACAUUUAGUGUAUCUUUACAAAAGCUAUAUAUUAUUAAUGUUUCUAACAACUCUAAUGUGGUGUUUGUUUCUUCUAGGAAUUAAUCGCUCUCAUAUCCAUG